UGCAAAUAAACGAAACCACAAAAAAAGUAUAUCACCACACAGGAAAACGAAAACAGAAUCCUUCGAAUGCGGCAGGAACUUAAAAAGUUCUUUUUUUUUCAGUGCGUUCUAAUUUAUUUUUUUGGUCGAAAUUCUG
This 136-nucleotide non-coding RNA is filed under the name Platyophrya macrostoma. The record is from RNAcentral. Lineage: Eukaryota; Ciliophora; Colpodea; Cyrtolophosidida; Platyophryidae.